GACGAACGCUGGCGGCGUGCCUAAUACAUGCAAGUCGAACGAAGCUGUUUAACUGGUGCUUGCACCGACUUAAACAACUGAGUGGCGAACGGGUGAGUAACACGUGGGUAACCUGCCCCAAAGCGGGGGAUAACAUUUGGAAACAGAUGCUAAUACCGCAUAACCACAGAAACCACAUGGUUUCUGUGUCAAAGAUGGUUUCGGCUAUCACUUUGGGAUGGACCCGCGGCGUAUUAGCUAGUUGGUAAGGUAAUGGCUUACCAAGGCAAUGAUACGUAGCCGAACUGAGAGGUUGAUCGGCCACAUUGGGACUGAGACACGGCCCAAACUCCUACGGGAGGCAGCAGUAGGGAAUCUUCCACAAUGGACGAAAGUCUGAUGGAGCAACGCCGCGUGAGUGAAGAAGGUUUUCGGAUCGUAAAACUCUGUUGUCAGAGAAGAACGUGUGCGAGAGUAACUGCUCGUGCAGUGACGGUAUCUGGCCAGAAAGCCACGGCUAACUACGUGCCAGCAGCCACAGUAA
RNAcentral lists this ribosomal RNA (523 nucleotides) under uncultured bacterium. RNAcentral's name for it is "partial 16S ribosomal RNA". It matches the Rfam family "Bacterial small subunit ribosomal RNA", at positions 28 to 523 of the family's 1533-position model. The record is from RNAcentral.